UACAGAGGUCUCAAGCGUUGUUCGGAUUCAUUGGGCGUAAAGGGUGCGUAGGUGGUGAUGCAAGUCUGGUGUGAAAUCUCGGAGCUCAACUCCGAAAUUGCACCGGAUACUGCGUGACUCGAGGACUGUAGAGGAGAUCGGAAUUCACGGUGUAGCAGUGAAAUGCGUAGAUAUCGUGAGGAAGACCAGUUGCGAAGGCGGAUCUCUGGGCAGUUCCUGACACUGAGACGCGAAAGCUAGGGGAGCGAACAGG
Molecule: ribosomal RNA, 253 nt
Filed under: uncultured bacterium
Lineage: Bacteria
Description: partial 16S ribosomal RNA
Rfam family: Bacterial small subunit ribosomal RNA
Source: RNAcentral